GACGAACGCUGGCGGCGUGCCUAAUACAUGCAAGUAGGACGCUGAAGGAGGAGCUUGCUUCUCUGGAUGAGUUGCGAACGGGUGAGUAACGCGUAGGUAACCUGCCUGGUAGCGGGGGAUAACUAUUGGAAACGAUAGCUAAUACCGCAUAAUAGCAGUUAUUGCAUGAUAACUGUUUGAAAGGUGCAAUUGCACCACUACCAGAUGGACCUGCGUUGUAUUAGCUAGUUGGUGGGGUAACGGCUCACCAAGGCGACGAUACAUAGCCGACCCGAGAGGGUUAUCGGCCAAACUGGGACUGAGACACGGCCCAGACUCCUACGGGAGGCAGCAGUAGGGGAUCUUCGGCAAUGGACGGAAGUCUGACCGAGCAACGCCGCGUGAGUGAAGAAGGUUCUCGGAUCGUAAAGCUCUGUUGUAAGAGAAGAACGAGUGUGAGAGUGGAAAGUUCACACUGUGACGGUAUCUUACCAGAAAGGGACGGCUAACUACGUG
RNAcentral lists this ribosomal RNA (495 nucleotides) under uncultured bacterium. RNAcentral describes it as "partial 16S ribosomal RNA". It matches the Rfam family "Bacterial small subunit ribosomal RNA", at positions 28 to 507 of the family's 1533-position model. The record is from RNAcentral.